Molecule: long non-coding RNA, 1294 nt
Filed under: Ananas comosus (pineapple)
Lineage: Eukaryota; Viridiplantae; Streptophyta; Magnoliopsida; Poales; Bromeliaceae
Description: long non-coding RNA (ACOM_LNC016516)
Source: RNAcentral
GCAACGCUCGAUAAAUAUCUGUUUCGAGCUUCACAAGCAGUAAGGCUGUGUUUGGUUACAGGAUAUAAUAGGAAUAACACAUUUUAUUCCUGUAAUUCUGCCAAACAUAAGUAAAAUUGGAAGGAAUAUUUAAUUCCGGUCAAAGCGGGUUAUUCUUGACAAUUCUAGAAUAACCCGUUAACAACUAUUCCUCUCCAACAGUGGAAUAGUUGUGUCCUUCAAUUUAUACCCAAGGCAGUAAAUGAAAACGUUGCCUCGUUGGUUGAGCCCACCUACCCUACUCUAUACUCCUUUGCCAAAUGUCUCUUUAGUUAAAACUUUUUACAAUAUUUUAUAUUAUUGUGUAUACUAUUUUUGAUUAAUUAUAUCUAAGGUAAAAAUAUUUUAUAAUUAAUUAUUAAAUAUUUUAUAAAUAAUAUGAAUAUUAAAAUAUUAAAUAUAAUUUUCUUUCACUAAAAUAUUUUAUUGCAUAUAUUAUAUUUUACAUGAAAUGUUGUUCAUUUUAUUAAAUAUUAUAUAUAAAAGAGGCACACACAAGGGCAAUAUUGGUAUUUUAGAAAAAUUUAAUCUACUUUUACUACUAUUCUCUAUUAUUCCUAAGCAAUUUUCCAAACAUAAAUUUUCGUAUUCUUCUGAAAAAGAGAAUUUCAUACCAAACAUAAAAUUCAUUUUAUUCUCCUAUAUCCUAGAAUACACCCUAAAUCCAAGAAUAAAAAUAUUUAUACUUCUAAACAUUAUUCCAUUACCAAACACAGCCUAAGAGAAUUAUUCUAUUUUAUUUUAAUAUUUUGGAAAGCUAGAUAGAUGAGAACUAAUAUAAAAUCUAAAUAUUUUGCUCAGAUGAUUAAUUAAAAUAAUCUACAAGAUUAUGAAUAGAACAGCAGUCACAAUUAAGCUAAAAAGAAUAAUAAAAGGAAGUUUUUUUUUCCUUUUGGCUAAUUUAUACUUUUGGUUCUGAAGUUAUGAGGUGCGUGAUACUUUGGUCUUCAAAUUUUAACGUAUUAUAAUGUUUAGUUAAAACAAUCAUAAUUAAGUGUUACUGUAUGUAUAAUUUAAUUGACUGAGUGGUAAUGUGUUGUUAAUAUGAAUGAUUAUAUGAUAAUGAUUAAGAUGUCACAUUAACUAUCAUGUCGAUAAACUAUUAGCAUCUGAUUAAUUAAAUUAAAUUGUAAAACUUAAUUGCAACAAUCUACAUAAUUUUAGUAAAAAAUUACGAUAGAUAAAAAUUUGUAGACAAAAAUGUCGUCUGUUUCAUAGUUUAAAGACCAAAAGUAUAAUUUAAUUACUGACAUUU